RNAcentral lists this ribosomal RNA (610 nucleotides) under Phaeocollybia ratticauda. RNAcentral describes it as "eukaryotic LSU rRNA". The stretch from base 229 to 382 matches the Rfam family "5.8S ribosomal RNA". Lineage: Eukaryota; Fungi; Basidiomycota; Agaricomycetes; Agaricales; Phaeocollybiaceae. The record is from RNAcentral.
UGCGGAAGGAUCAUUAUUGAAAUAAAAUUUGAAGGUUGUAGCUGGCCCAAUUCCAUUGGGCAUGUGCUCGCUUUCAUCUUUUUAAACCCCUGUGCACCUUUUGUAGACUAUGAAUGUAACAAGGAUUUAUUUCCUUGCGAUUUCUUGUCUAUGUUUUUAAUAUACUCCCAAAAAUGUAUUAGAAUGUUAAUCUUAUGGGCCUUUGUGUCUAUAAACAAAAAGUUAUACAACUUUCAGCAACGGAUCUCUUGGCUCUCGCAUCGAUGAAGAACGCAGCGAAAUGCGAUAAGUAAUGUGAAUUGCAGAAUUCAGUGAAUCAUCGAAUCUUUGAACGCAUCUUGCGCUCCUUGGUAUUCCGAGGAGCAUGCCUGUUUGAGUGUCAUUUAAUUCUCAAAAAAGAAAAUAAACUUUUUUGGAUUGUGAGGGCUUGUCGGCGAAAGUUGACUCCCUUGAAAUGAAUUAGCUUGGUUUGACUAUGACUUUGUCUAUUGGUGUGAUAAUUAUCUACGCCAUUGGAUUGUCUGUUAUAAACUGCUUUCUAAUUGUCCCCUAGGACUUUAAUAAAUUGACAACUUGACCUCAAAUCAGGUAGGACUACCCGCUGAACUUA